UUAUUUCGAGCUGUCAGAAUGUUAUCGUUUAUGGUUGGCUAUCGUCUCUGUCUUUCACUGAUCAUUUAACAAGCGACACGCGCGAACGUUCUUAUCAAUCUUCUUCGUUUAUACGAGAAAUCACAAGGAGAAAUUCGCCCGAGUCAUGUCCGAGAGAAAGCAACGAACCAAAGAUUUAGAACGUAAAUUAGAACUCAAGAUAGAAAAAGAAUGGCAACGUUUGGUAGCGGCGCAACAAGAAUUAAGAGAGAAACGAGAGGAAUUGAAAAUCCUUCAAAUCCGAGUUAAUAAUCGCAACGCCGACGUUAAUCAAAACUCCAAGGCAUUGAGACAACAACGUGAUUAGAAUGAUUCUAAAUAGUCACGCUGAAACUUCAAGCUUGAUGAGCACACGUCAACGAUCGGGGUAAAAUGUUUAUAUUUUUGCGUAUAAAAUUAUUGUAAUAAUCCUAAUGAAAUACAUGUUAAGCAAUAUAA
Vespula pensylvanica (western yellowjacket) is the source of this 477-nucleotide long non-coding RNA. RefSeq lists it as uncharacterized. The record is from RefSeq and is a predicted model, not a curated record. Lineage: Eukaryota; Metazoa; Arthropoda; Insecta; Hymenoptera; Vespidae. The transcript has 2 exons.